This 381-nucleotide ribosomal RNA is filed under the name uncultured bacterium. RNAcentral's name for it is "partial 16S ribosomal RNA". It matches the Rfam family "Bacterial small subunit ribosomal RNA", at positions 338 to 732 of the family's 1533-position model. The record is from RNAcentral.
CCUACGGGUGGCAGCAGUGGGGAAUAUUGGGCAAUGGCGGCAACUCUUACCCAGCAAUGCCGCGUGAAUGAAGAAGGUCUUCGGAUUGUAAAGUCCCUUAUUUGGGGGCGAAAAAAAUGACGGUACCCAAGGAAUAAGCCCCGGCUAAAAAUGUGCCAGCGGCCGCGGUAAUACGUAGGGGGCAAGCGUUGGGCGGAAUGACGGGGCGUAAAGGGUGUGUAGGCGGGGUAGCAAGUUAGAAGGGGAAUACCUAGAGCUUAACUCAGGUGCUGCUUCUAAAACUGCUAUACUUGAGUGCGGUAGAGGAAAGUGGAAUUCGUAGUGUAGCGGUGGAAUGCGUAGAUAUUAGGAGGAACACCAGUGGCGAAGGCGACUUUCUGG